RNAcentral lists this ribosomal RNA (362 nucleotides) under uncultured bacterium. Its description in RNAcentral is "bacterial SSU rRNA". It matches the Rfam family "Bacterial small subunit ribosomal RNA", at positions 89 to 451 of the family's 1533-position model. The record is from RNAcentral.
GACUGAGUGGCGGACGGGUGAGUAACGCGUGGGUAACCUGCCUUGUACUGGGGGAUAGCAGCUGGAAACGGCUGGUAAUACCGCAUAAGCGCACAAUGUUGCAUGACAUGGUGUGAAAAACUCCGGUGGUAUAAGAUGGACCCGCGUCUGAUUAGCUAGUUGGUGAGAUAACAGCCCACCAAGGCGACGAUCAGUAGCCGACCUGAGAGGGUGACCGGCCACAUUGGGACUGAGACACGGCCCAGACUCCUACGGGAGGCAGCAGUGGGGAAUAUUGCACAAUGGAGGAAACUCUGAUGCAGCGACGCCGCGUGAGUGAAGAAGUAAUUCGUUAUGUAAAGCUCUAUCAGCAGGGAAGAUAG